Molecule: ribosomal RNA, 301 nt
Filed under: uncultured bacterium
Lineage: Bacteria
Description: partial 16S ribosomal RNA
Rfam family: Bacterial small subunit ribosomal RNA
Source: RNAcentral
CAGUAGCCGCGGGAAUACGGAGGGUGCAAGCGUUAUCCGGAUUUAUUGGGUUUAAAGGGUCCGUAGGCGGAUCUGUAAGUCAGUGGUGAAAUCUCACAGCUUAACUGUGAAACUGCCAUUGAUACUGCAGGUCUUGAGUAAAUUUGAAGUGGCUGGAAUAAGUAGUGUAGCGGUGAAAUGCAUAGAUAUUACUUAGAACACCAAUUGCGAAGGCAGGUCACUAAGAUUUAACUGACGCUGAUGGACGAAAGCGUGGGGAGCGAACAGGAUUAGAGACCCCUGUAGUCCCUGUCUCUUAUAC